GUGGAUUAGAUACCCUAGUAGUCCACGCCUUAAACGAUGAGAGCUAGUUGUCAGUAAGCAUGCUUAUUGGUGACGCAGCUAACGCAUUAAGCUCUCCGCCUGGGGAGUACGGCCGCAAGGUUAAAACUCAAAGAAAUUGACGGGGGCCCGCACAAGCGGUGGAGCAUGUGGUUUAAUUCGAAGCAACGCGCAGAACCUUACCCACCUUUGACAUCCCGUGCUACCUAGAGAGAUCUAGGGUCCCUUCGGGGCGCGGAGACAGGUGCUGCACGGCCGUCGCCAACU
This 285-nucleotide ribosomal RNA is filed under the name uncultured bacterium. RNAcentral describes it as "partial 16S ribosomal RNA". It matches the Rfam family "Bacterial small subunit ribosomal RNA", at positions 773 to 1060 of the family's 1533-position model. The record is from RNAcentral.